GUGAUUUUUUCCCACAAAUUAAUACAAAGUAUCGGGGUAAAAUCUCAUUAGAACUUGUAAAUUACAAUUCAUUGUGUUAUCUUUAGAAAUUGAGACAUUUUCUUAAUGUAUUUACAUUUUCACUUGAACUCUCUCCCUCAACAUUGAUGAUCGAAUGAUCUGUCACGUGAAUCACAUGACAGAACAACCAUUAGGAUUCUCGUCACUGAACAUUUGUGCGUUGUUCAAGUAUGUCGUUGGUGGAGGAGGUGGUACAUAUGACGGUUGGUGGUAGCCAUACUCCAUGGCGUAGCCCGUAUGAGCGUUGUAACCGGGAUCGUACAUUGUUAGACCAUAGUCUUGAUUCAUGUAACUUUGGUUGUACACAGGCAUCGCGUAAUGUGUUUGUGCAUUGUAACCAUAAUACUCUAAUUUAUUCGCUUCGGACUUUGUCUCCACACCUUUACUUCCUUCGGCUUUUUGUUCACCCCCUUCUUUCUCUUUCUUCUCACCACUGCCACCACCACCACCUACUUUCUCUUUCUUCUCACCACCAUCACCACCGCCGCCACCACCUUCUUUCUCUUUCUUCUCUCCGCCACCGCCACCGCCUUCUUUCUUUUCGCCACCUCCAUCAUCUUUCUUAGGUGGGAUGAUUUCUACAUUUCUUUUCAAUUUAUCUUUCAAAUAAGGAAUUAAUUCCUUCAAGUCCAUUGUACCCUUAACAUUGACCAAAUCUUUUUCCGAAUCUACUUUGACUUCUUCUACCCCAUCAAUUUUCUUUAUAAUUCUCUUUAUUUUGUGUGCACACCCAUCACAAUGCAAUUGAAUCUUCAACACCACUGUACUUACUUGUGGCUCUUUAGGCUUCUUAUCUUCAGGUUUUUUCUCUUCUGCCUUUUUCUCAUCGGGUUUUUUAUCUCCACCGCCGGCGCCGGCGCCGGCGUCCUUUUUAGGCUGAGGAGAAACGAGCACCACCGUCUUCUUCGUCUUCAUCGCUACUUUCUCCCGGAGCCAUGCCGGAUCCACGUUCCCUUUCACCGUCAAUUUUCCACCGUCACAGUCCGUCUUCACGUCCUCCACACCUUCGAGAUGGCGAAUGGAACGUUUGACUUUUUUGGCACAGCCUUCACAAUGCAAAUCGAGUUUUAAAACUAUGACGGUAGGACCGGCAUCCUUUUUUCCACCGGCGGCGACAGCGUCACCGCCGCCGGACUUUUUUUCUCCGGCGUCAUUCUUCUUCUCUGCUACCUCUGCUUUAGUUUCUUCUUUUUUCUCACCCAUUUGAUAAAAUGAAAAUGGAUUAUAGAGAAAUU
This 1295-nucleotide unclassified non-coding RNA is filed under the name Hevea brasiliensis (rubber tree). The record is from RNAcentral. Lineage: Eukaryota; Viridiplantae; Streptophyta; Magnoliopsida; Malpighiales; Euphorbiaceae.